GCCGAAGUGGUGAAAUUGGUAAACACGCUGUCUUGAGGGGACAGUGGGGAGGUUCCUCUUGCCGGUUCGAGUCCGGCCUUCGGCAC
RNAcentral lists this transfer RNA (86 nucleotides) under Coxiella endosymbiont of Amblyomma nuttalli. RNAcentral describes it as "tRNA-Met". It matches the Rfam family "tRNA". From Rfam's summary of the family: Transfer RNA (tRNA) molecules are approximately 80 nucleotides in length. Their secondary structure includes four short double-helical elements and three loops (D, anti-codon, and T loops). Further hydrogen bonds mediate the characteristic L-shaped molecular structure. tRNAs have two regions of fundamental functional importance: the anti-codon, which is responsible for specific mRNA codon recognition, and the 3' end, to which the tRNAs corresponding amino acid is attached (by aminoacyl-tRNA synthetases). tRNAs cope with the degeneracy of the genetic code in two manners: having more than one tRNA (with a specific anti-codon) for a particular amino acid; and 'wobble' base-pairing, i.e. permitting non-standard base-pairing at the 3rd anti-codon position. The record is from RNAcentral. Lineage: Bacteria; Pseudomonadati; Pseudomonadota; Gammaproteobacteria; Legionellales; Coxiellaceae.